Molecule: unclassified non-coding RNA, 2673 nt
Filed under: Ooceraea biroi (clonal raider ant)
Lineage: Eukaryota; Metazoa; Arthropoda; Insecta; Hymenoptera; Formicidae
Description: odorant receptor 43a, transcript variant X1
Source: RNAcentral
AAAGAAUCACAAAAAAAUUAGUAUAAAAUAAGAUUGAUUUAGGUACAUAUCCUAUUAAUAUAAAUUACAUAUCUUCUUAAUCCUCUAACAUAUCUUUUAACUAUGAACCACAAUACUUUCUUACAUUCUUUUUAACAUUAAAAGCAAAGCAAAUAAUCACAAAAUACAAUUUCUAAAACAGGUAUACUUCAUUUGCGACAAAUUGGAUAUUUUCCUUUAUUAAACAUAUUAUAUAUUAUAUUUAAGGUUACGUCAUGUCAUAUUAUUAUUUAACUGUCAUUAUACAUGAAUUUUAUAUAAUUAAAGUAUAUAUAAUGUUGGACAUGUUCAGCACAGUCAUCUUCUUAAUUUAGUAAGACAUAUAUAUUUAUAUAAGACAUGUUCAUAUUACGACCUUGCAUCUUUUGAGUUGUGAAUUGAUGCUACUGCGUGAGAAAACGGCAGAUGUAAUGCGUGACAUCGCAACAGACUUGUGCUUAGGCACAUAUCAAUACGAACUUUUUUUGUCGCUCUUAAUUCUCGCACAAACUGCAUGGAACUAAAAGCAGCUCGAAUAUUUAAUGUGCUUUCCUCCACUUUUAAAAAGUUUAUACAUGCAUUCGAAUGCUCUGCUAAAUGCGAGGUAACAUCGAUUCCUGCAGACAUAGCAAUCAUCAGUUUCUCGUAAACUUUCGUUAUGGAUGAUUCGAAGUACUCGGAACAAAAAGGUGUUUAAUAUUGUAAUUAAAAAUGGAACCACUUGUUUUUCGAAUAAGAUUAUUUAUUAUUAUUUCUAAACAAGCAUAGUUUCUUUAGUUAACUAUUCCAAGAUAUUUUUAUUAUUCCGAUUAUUCCAAUAUACCUUAUACAAAAAUUCAUUAUUACAAAACUUCUAUAAAUAGUAAUACAUGUGUCGGUAGAGAAAAUUUGUUUAAAUUGAAAACUGAAAAGUAAAUUGGUUUCUGCAGAACAUUGUCUCAUUAAAAUUUCUGUAGGAAGAUUUCGAAUGGGCAGUGAAAUUGAAUCGUGCGGGUCUGAAUUUACUUGGGUUAUGGCCAAAUCCGCAAGAAAGUGCUAGAGAGGAAGUAAUAAGUAAUAUACGUGUGUUGCUUACAUUACUGGUAAUGCUAACUUUAUUGGUGCCUUGUGUACAUUCCUUGAUUAAAACUAAUUCGGACAUCAUGCUGACAAUAGACAAUUUACAAAUUAUUAUACCGAUACUUAGCACCAUUAUAAAGCUUCCAAUAUUUUGGUGGAAAAAAAAAGCAUUCACAUCAAUUGUAAACAUGAUCGUGGAAGACUGGUUAAAGUCAACAAAUAUCCAUGAAAGGAAAACGAUGAUUAAAUGGGCGCUACGUGCACGUAUAUUUAUUACAUGCUCGUAUAUACUAAUAACAAUCGGGCUCAUAAUUUUUUUCGUCAUAGGACCUAUUUUCGGAAAAUCAAUGACAUUGACAUCAAAUAUCACUGAUUCCAGCAGGUCAUUGACCCUACCAACUUAUUACAUUUACGACGUAACAAAAAGGCCGCAAUACGAAUUAACAAUCAUUAGCCAAUGCAUCUCUAUUACCACCACAGGCAUACUUUAUAUAGGAAUUGACAAUUUUUUUGGAUUAUUAGUUUUUCAUAUUUGCGGACAAUUGAACAUCAUGAGGAAUCGUCUCAAAUGUAAUCACGAAAAUUUUCGUGUUGUAUUGAGAGCUAGUGUGAUGUAUCAUAUUCGAUUGCUUAGAGCUAUAAAUACCAUAGAAGAUACAUACAACGUCAUUCUGCUAAUAUUAUUUCUCUUUUUUGGGAUAUUAUUUGCCUUCUGUGGAUUCCUAUUAGUUGCUCUGUUUGAAGACGAAGAAAAUGAUAUAUCGUUUACGCGUUUAUCAUUUCUUUUCCUCAUUACUACAUCCAUAAUCAUACAUAUGGGAAUUUAUUGCGCUGUUGGUGAAACGCUAAUGACCCAAUGCAAUGGAAUUUAUUAUGCGGUAUAUGAUUAUGAGUGGUAUUCUUUGGAUCCAAAAGAAGCAAAGGAUUUAAUCCUAUUUAUGAUUAAAAUUAGAGAUCCUAUUUAUUUCACUGCUGGUAAAAUAUUUCCUGUAACAAUGGCUAUGUUUUGUAAUUUGCUAAAGACGUCGGCCAGUUAUAUAUCCGUUUUACUUACAUCAAGAAAAAACUAAAAUGUGGGUAAAAUUAGAUUAUUUGUAGCUUUUCCUAGGAUUACUAGAAUGCAAUAAUUAGAAAGACUUGGACUUGCAUUGCUGUGCUUUUAGAAUAGAAAUAUGAAAUAAAUGACAUUGUUAAAACGCAAUACUUUGAUCAAAUAAUAUUAUAUAAGCAAAAUUAGUGUUAACAUAUCCAUUACGUUAGAAUAUAACAAAACUAUUCAGCUGUUAUUCUUUAUCUUUUUUAUCUCGAUAACAGAAAUUUAUUCUGAUAUAUGUAUAUGUGUAAUUAUGCAUAAAAGUCCACAUGUGCAUUGUAUUAAUAACAACAAUUAUAUUACGGACUGUUAUAACAGAAAUAAUAAUAUAAAUAUGACAAUUAUAAAAUGUGAAAUAUAAAUGUUUGAAAAAUAAAAUAUCUGUAAAACAUUAAUCAAAAUUCGCUCACUACAAGGAACACAAAACAUCUUUUACUGUAUAUAUUGGAUUACAUAUUCACUAUUAAUACAGGAAAUAAACACUUGUGCCCACUAACUUUUAA